UAGGAACAGGCUUAACAGCACAGACAAAGUGAAACACAAAGGAAAGUGUAGAAUCUACUGAGUAAUUGCCUGGGGAUAUUUCUUCUCUAACAGGCCAUUUCAACUCUUUUGCAGCACAGAUUCUUGAAAACUAACAGUAAAAGGCGCCCAUUUUGGUUGCUCGCAUGCUCCUGUUUCAAGCAUACAAGAAGUCGUUCCUCUCUUCCGUUAUCAUUUCGGUCUCUCUGCCAAAGGAUGUGAUGCUCAAAGCACCCAACAAUGAUUUCUGCAUAAGAGACGAAGAGGAGUUAGAAUCACACGCCUUACUUAGGAAAUUAUUUCUUAUCAACACAGUUGGCGAAUAUGGGACUAGCCAGAAUUGCGAAAUUCGUAAAUACAGCUUUCUGGAUCCACACAGUGUCACCAAGAGCCAAAAAUGGCCUAAGUGUGUCGACCUUGGUCGGCGACUGUUAAACAUAAUCUAACUUGUAAAUCGGUUUUACAAUAUUUCUCAAAGAAAUCCGGCACAAAAUUCAAGAAAUAAAUUUUAAAUCGGAAAUUAAAAUGCAAUGAAGAAAAAA
Drosophila grimshawi is the source of this 560-nucleotide long non-coding RNA. RefSeq lists it as uncharacterized. NCBI's taxonomy places the organism in Eukaryota, Metazoa, Arthropoda, Insecta, Diptera, Drosophilidae. The record is from RefSeq and is a predicted model, not a curated record. The transcript has 3 exons.